CCCAACUAGUACUAUUUGAUCUAAAAAAAUCCAACCUGAAAACUUUCUCUUUCAGAAAACCCUCUAUCCCCAAGCCCCUUUACUAGGUUGGGCAAGCUUUGAUGCCCCUACUCCCAAGAAGUUGCUGGUCGGGAUCGUGGAACUAUCGCUCGAGAAGUAAGAAGCUGAUCCUUGUUUGGUCAUCAGGAUAAUAGUUCUUCUUAGGUCAGG
RNAcentral lists this long non-coding RNA (210 nucleotides) under Nicotiana benthamiana. Its description in RNAcentral is "long non-coding RNA (NBEN_LNC012340)". The record is from RNAcentral. Lineage: Eukaryota; Viridiplantae; Streptophyta; Magnoliopsida; Solanales; Solanaceae.